CANCGAGCGCANNCCUUNUCCUUGUUNGCCAGCGAGUAAUGUCGGGANCUCCAGGGAGACUGCCGGUGAUAAACCGGAGGAAGGUGGGGACGACGUCAAGUCAUCAUGGCCCUUACGAGUAGGGCUACACACGUGCUACAAUGGCGCAUACAGAGGGCAGCAAGCUAGCGAUAGUGAGCGAAUCCCAAAAAGUGCGUCGUAGUCCGGAUUGGAGUCUGCAACUNGCUCCAUGAAGUCGGAAUCGCUAGUAAUCGUGGAUCAGAAUGCCACGGUGAAUCGUUCCGGGCCU
Molecule: ribosomal RNA, 289 nt
Filed under: Vibrio sp. HR11-45
Lineage: Bacteria; Pseudomonadati; Pseudomonadota; Gammaproteobacteria; Vibrionales; Vibrionaceae
Description: partial 16S ribosomal RNA
Rfam family: Bacterial small subunit ribosomal RNA
Source: RNAcentral